Molecule: ribosomal RNA, 62 nt
Filed under: Phaseolus sp. XHJ-2009
Lineage: Eukaryota; Viridiplantae; Streptophyta; Magnoliopsida; Fabales; Fabaceae
Description: partial large subunit ribosomal RNA
Source: RNAcentral
CGAGACCUCAGGUCAGGCGGGGCUACCCGCUGAGUUUAAGCAUAUCAAUAAGCCCGAAGAAA